AUAACCCGUUGAAAGACGGCCUAAUACCUAAUAGUUUAUAAUAGUUGCAUGACUGUUAUAAUAAAGAUUUAUCGGUAUAAGAUAGGGAUGCGUCUGAUUAGUUAGUUGGUGAGGUAACGGCUCACCAAGGCAUCGAUCAGUAGGGGUUCUGAGAGGAAGGUCCCCCACAUUGGAACUGAGACACGGUCCAA
RNAcentral lists this ribosomal RNA (191 nucleotides) under uncultured Bacteroidales bacterium. RNAcentral describes it as "partial 16S ribosomal RNA". It matches the Rfam family "Bacterial small subunit ribosomal RNA", at positions 143 to 334 of the family's 1533-position model. Lineage: Bacteria; Pseudomonadati; Bacteroidota; Bacteroidia; Bacteroidales. The record is from RNAcentral.